RNAcentral lists this ribosomal RNA (492 nucleotides) under uncultured bacterium. RNAcentral's name for it is "partial 16S ribosomal RNA". It matches the Rfam family "Bacterial small subunit ribosomal RNA", at positions 29 to 507 of the family's 1533-position model. The record is from RNAcentral.
AGUGAACGCUGGCGGUAGGCCUAACACAUGCGGGUCGAACGGCAGCACAGUAAGAGCUUGCUCUUACGGGUGGCGAGUGGCGGACGGGUGAGGAAUACAUCGGAAUCUACUUUUUCGUGGGGGAUAACGUAGGGAAACUUACGCUAAUACCGCAUACGACCUACGGGUGAAAGCAGGGGAUCUUCGGACCUUGCGCGAUUGAAUGAGCCGAUGUCGGAUUAGCUAGUUGGCGGGGUAAAGGCCCACCAAGGCGACGAUCCGUAGCUGGUCUGAGAGGAUGAUCAGCCACACUGGAACUGAGACACGGUCCAGACUCCUACGGGAAGCAGCAGUGGGGAAUAUUGGACAAUGGGCGCAAGCCUGAUCCAGCCAUACCGCGUGGGCGAAGAAGGCCUUCGGGUUGUAAAGCCCUUUUGUUGGGAAAGAAAAGCAGCAGGUUAAUACCCCGCUGUUCUGACGGUACCCAAAGAAUAAGCACCGGCUAACUUCGUG